Molecule: unclassified non-coding RNA, 390 nt
Filed under: soil metagenome
Description: partial contains 5.8S ribosomal RNA, internal transcribed spacer 2, and large subunit ribosomal RNA
Rfam family: 5.8S ribosomal RNA (bases 1-122)
Source: RNAcentral
GAUGAAGAACGUAGCGAAAUGCGAUACUUGGUGUGAAUUGCAGAAUCCCGCGAAUCAUCGAGUUUUUGAACGCAAGUUGCGCCCGAAGCCAUUCGGCCGUGGGCACGUCUGCCUGGGUGUCACGCAUCGUUGCCCCCCCAAACUCCGGUUCGGGCAGGGCGGAAGUUGGCCUCCCGUGCGUGCCUGCGCGCGCGGUUAGCCCAAAAGCGAGUCCUCGGCGACGAGCGCCACGACAAUCGGUGGUUUUUUUACCCUCGUUCCUCGUCGUGCGUGCCCCGUCGCCCGAACGCGCUCUUGCGACCCUUACGCGUCGCCUCGGCGGCGCUCCCAACGCGACCCCAGGUCAGGCGGGACUACCCGCUGAGUUUAAGCAUAUCAAUAAGCGGAGGA